AUAGGUGUGGAAGGAAUCUAUGCGGUCAGUGGUGAAGUAGUCACAACUUCAGCAAAAUUGUAUGCCGGGGUGAAUGAAACUUACGAAGUCCUUAUACCGCAGCACUGAUGUGGCUCUGAAGAUGGAGAGUAGUACGCCUGGCAGAAGUAGGCACUGGGGGAGUGUUCAGAGAUAGAAACAGAAGAGUUGUGCUGUCAAGCAGAAGACUGGGGACGAGGAAUAGCAGAGUGGAGGCUUUGGGGCUAUACCAAAUAAUCUCUGGAAGAAUACAUGAGAUCAAAGUUAAGGAACUGGAGAGAUAGGGGUAGUCACUUGAAUUUGCUUGAAGAUUCCCAAAUACUGCAGAGAUAGUCUCAUCCCAAAUGGAAAAAGGAAGCAUUAACUUUUGAUGAUUAGAGAAUCAAAAAGGUCUUUAUUAUUUUUUGCUGAAUCUUUAUGAAAGUCCUUAGCAGAGUUGAUAAAGCCAGCUGGUGGAAAUGACUGAGUUGUUACAGGGAUGGAAAAGAAAUUUGAUCUGAAUUUUGAAAUUCAGUGAAAAAUCUGGCAAAGUUUUGAAAUCCCAGUAAGAUAUAUCAUGAACAUGACAGUUCUCAGGAAUUCCAGCAAGCUUGCAGUCAAGGAACAGUCCUCAGUGAGGCAGGUGACAAAGUUUUAAUGUGAUUUUAUUUCUUGCCUCUUCCCCCUUUCUGAGUGAGGGAGUCUUUAUGAACUAAACUAGCAAAGCUUUCAGAUUUGGAGCCUUCCCUGUGCUAGUGUAUUGGUAUUUUUUUGUAUUUGGGACACAAGAAGAGUCACUUAGGUAUCAUGGUCUAUUUCUCGUAACAAGGUAGUGAAGAGAUUCAAUAGAGGUUGUGGAUUUGAUAGAUGUGGGAGAGAACACCUUCUGGAUGCUUUUUUAAAAUCAAAGUUGCUUCAUCUUGCUUUUGUUUUAAGGAACAGAACAUAUAAUCAGAAAGGUUUUAUCUAUUGUAUUUUAUGUCAGAAACUUCCAAAUCUUCCCAGCACCUUUCUGUGGGAGAGCAAAGGGAGUUUGCAUAAGAAUAGUCAGUCAAACAGGAAUGCUAAGGCAAACUAGAUAAUGAUGAAACUGAUGUCUGAAUUACCCUUGAUAAUGUUAUCAGGUUAAAAGGAAGGAUACCAGUCACCUUUGCAAGCUCUUCCUGAAUGUUAUCCCAGAAGAAUGCGUGAUCUGCAGUGGAAAGAAAAAAGUAAGCAAGCUGUUUAAGGCAAGUGAGGUUGGAAUCAGAACUAUUAGAUAAUAGAUUUUGUGUAAUUUAUUGUUUUCAGUAUAUUGGAUUUACUGUCUUAAAUUAAUCUUUCAACUGACAUCACUGUAACAAGGGAGUGGUACUGGCAGUAAGUGAGGCCAACUGACUUAGGUAUUAGGGCUAGAGUCAAGAGUCAGAACAAGACUAUGGAUCCAAACAAAAGGCUCUGGGGUUGUUUAAAGUGUGAAGGUCAGCUUUUAAUACAAACAAGAAAUCCUGAUCAAAAUAGAUCCAAUAGAAAUUGACAAAUUAUUUACAAGAGCUAUCUCACCUUUAUUUACUGUUGGCUCACUUUCACAUCAGAUUUGUUACAUUUUCAAAAUGAGCCAACUCUUUUUGCUUUUUGUGUGCUUUAUAUUAGUAGUCAGGGAGGAGGGCUUUAGGGUUCUUUGGAUAAUUUAUAGCAAAUAAUAUUAUUUAGUGUGAAUAGAAAAAAAAUAAAGAAUUCAAUAAUAAUAUAUUUACCAUAAAUAUCUCUAAUUAACUAAGCUCUAGUAAAUGUUUUAAAACCACAAUAAUUAUAUAAACUUUGGAUCAGAACUCCUUGCUGAAAAAAAAACAAAAGUCAAUCAUCUUAAUGAGUUUGUUUUCUCUGUAA
Long non-coding RNA from Pezoporus flaviventris, 1866 nucleotides. RefSeq lists it as uncharacterized. The record is from RefSeq and is a predicted model, not a curated record. The transcript has 4 exons. NCBI's taxonomy places the organism in Eukaryota, Metazoa, Chordata, Aves, Psittaciformes, Psittacidae.